UCUGCAGUGACGGUAGCAAGUUCAAUAACGUGUAGUGCAUACGUUUUCUCUCAGCUACAAAGCACCUUCCUUAAGAAAUGCUUAUAAAAUAUUCAAUGUAAACUACUGAAGAAACUCAUAUUUAGUAGUACUCCCCAAGCUCUACUGUAUGUGCACUGCUUCAUCCUUAUUGUCAGUGUACCUCCAUGACCAGCUGAAGAGAUUACCAACUCUAGACAACUCCCAGAUGUUUGUUGCCAUCCUCUUGCCAAGAAAUGCUGCCUUGUCAGAUCCACUGGUUAAAUUACGUGUGCUAUCAUUUCCUAAUUUAUAUCAAAAUGAGUUUAGUUGGCAAAACAGGUAAGCAAAAAAAAAUCUAUUCUUUUCAUGGUUUAUGCUGGAUCAUUUUAGUAUUCAUAACCUAGAAAAUAAUCUCAGCAGAAGCUUCUGCUCAAAAGCUAAUGGGUUGGCAGCUACUGAAAGCAGUAUGGGGUUGGUUAACUUCAGAUAAUAGUUACAACUAAAAGAGGAGAGAUGCCCACACCAUACAGAUUUAUGUCAGGGUCAAGCAAAAUAUUUGGGCAGCUAUGUAAUCUAAAGCAUGUUGACCAUUCCACUGUUUUAAAUGUAACUACUUAUAAGCUAUUUCUUAAGAUUGCUUUUAUAUUGUUGUAGAAGACACAACCACAUGAUGAGGUUUAUUUCAAUUAAAGUUAUAUAUAUGAAAAUUAGGCAUCUUAUCUGCAUUCAUACUCCCAGUUUGUCCUGCAAUCAGUGGAACAGGUAUCCCCAGGAGGGUAAUUCCAGUCAUUACAACUAAGAUGUAAGCUGCAGUCUGAAGUUCAUCAUGGAGGAGUAUCCUCAUCUAUUAGUACAGGUUGGGGGAUUAUCUGCUCGUGAGGAGCUCUGCAGAGAAGGACAUGAGGAUCCUGGUGGAUGACAGGUUGGCCAUGAGCCAUCAGUGUCCCCUUGUGGCCAAGAAGGCCAGUGGUAUCCUGGGGUGCAUUAAAAAGAGCAUGGCCAGCAGGUAAAGGAAGGUGAUCCUCCCUCUCUACUCUGCCCUUGUGAGGCCAUAUUUAAAAUACAAUUUCCAGUUUUGGGCUCCUGUAAGAGUUUGCUCCUUUUUUGCACCUUCGUCUCAAAGCUUGCUAAAGGCAACACAUGGACAAGUCCAGGCAAAGUUUGAGAAAUCCUUUGUCUGAAGAUUUGCAGGCCAGGGGCAAGGAGAGAGAGAUGAGUAGCAACUUAAUGGCCAAUAAGCAAUCUUUUGUGUGAACUCAUCUCGAGGGAGAUAACUGUACCUGCAUGCUCAUGGAUGCUGCACAUGACUCUUACCUAAGUGCCCAGGAACACCAUGGCAGAAGAAGAUAGAAAAAGGAUCUACAACUGAGUGAUGUCUGAUACCAGAUACCUCAUGAUGUGAUACCUGCCUGCUGCUGGACUUUCCUGGGCCUGCUACCUGAGACCUACCUGUUUCUCCUGGACUCGCUCUUGCUGCACCUGCUUGUUGCCUAAGGCUGGCCGCUCUGCUGCUGCUCUCCUCUGCGCCCUUGCUCCUGUAUUGGCCUUGGACCAUCGGAAUGGUGUGCAAUGGGAUGCUGCUGGAUCUUGGUGAUCUAUCCACCUCAACACUACCAAAUUGUGUAUUCUCUCAAGUCCUUUGUACAUGUCCCAAACACAGAGAUGUAAACAGCAGAUGUAUAAACAGGAGUACCAGUUUCGUGUUAGGAAUUAAACACACAAGACUCCAUCACUUUCCUGUGGGACACUCGUAUACUGCGUAGUCUGAAAUGCAUUAUAGUAACCUGUAUCUUCUGGGAAUUCUCUGUCUCCAUGAACCACGGCAGCAUUGAGUGGAGCAGAAACCGAAUUUCGGCCUUGAGAAAUCAAACUCCCUAGAUAAAGUCAUGAAGAUGCAGGUGUUUUAUGAAUUAUGUCUAAUAUUAAAUAACAGCUAUCAACAAAAUAAUCCGCCCAUGCCUUCUAUUCACCAAAAUAAUAGCAACAUAAAAAUACAUAUCAUAAAGUAGACGACCUCCAACAGUUUCCCUCUACAGCUACGUUAAAUGUACUUAAUCCAGUGUGGAUGGCAACAUAAAGCAACUUUUAUUCAUAUCCCCAUGAUUCUGCUUCACCUCAAUGAAAUGAAUACCGCUUUCAAAGAAAAUUGAAAACCAAAUCAAAACCAAAAAAACCCUACUGUCAUUAUAAUACCUGCAGAGUGAUACCACUAACGGACCUGACUGUUUGUUUCUAAGGAAGAACAGCUGUGCAACAGACUGUCUGAACAGUCACUAUUACAGAAUGCAACAUGGAUCACUGACACAAAGGAAGCACUACACCAGCUGGCUUUCUGUCUUAGAGCAUUUCUAUUCCUAGAUGAUUUACCUGUUCUCAGUCCUGUCACCUUAGCACUUCUACUACCCAAUUAAAAAAUGAUGUUGCUGAAUUCUCUCUGCUGUAAAUUAAAUAUGUUAUUUAUCAGAUCAAACUGCUAUGGUUUUUUUUAAACUUUGCAAUAUAUGACUUAUUUUUAAACUUAGCUGCUUGAUUAUUUAUUUAUGGUAUAUUUUGUUCUCUUGUAGAGUUUAGAUCAGAAAAAUUCUUUUCUAAUGUAUUCACAUGCAGUGAUCUACAUUUCCUAAUCAUAAUCAUGUCAGCAAAAGCGGAGCUGCUCUUAGGAUAACGUUUUAGUCUAGAAAAUGAUUUCCCUUUAAAAUGGAUUCAAUGGACAUGAUGAUAUAAAAAGAAGAUGCAAAAUUACACACAACAGUUUGCAUAAUCAAAACAGAUAUGUUUUGUAUUCAGGGAAGAUUUCUUUUUGCUACAUUAAAUGGAAGAAAAUAAACCUUUUGGAAUUCUGCAAGUGUGCUGUGGAUGUAAAGGCGGUAGCUGUGGAAUUCCAGCAGGAUUAUGAGAAGGAUGUACAGAAAUUAAAAUAAAUAAAUUAAUAAAAAUCAGUCAAGAUAAUUAAGAAUUAUAUCAAAGGACAAGUGGAUUUAAAAAAAAAAAAUAACAAUAGUCAUUUUAUUUCAAAUUGGAACUGUGCUUCAUUUUCUGCUUUAUAACUAAAGAUAAAUUUAUGAAAGCUUAAAAUAUAGAGAUUUUUUUGUGCCAGAAAUUUACGGGUCCUCUUUUAAAUAACUGUGAGUUCAAAUGAGAUAUAAUGAAUGUGGAACUUUAUUCCGUAAAUAAUGC
This is a long non-coding RNA of Gallus gallus (chicken), 3177 nucleotides long. The record is from Ensembl. Lineage: Eukaryota; Metazoa; Chordata; Aves; Galliformes; Phasianidae.